CCUACGGGGGGCAGCAGUGGGGAAUAUUGCGCAAUGGGCGAAAGCCUGACGCAGCGACGCCGCGUGAGGGAUGAAGGUCUUCGGAUCGUAAACCUCUGUCAGCAGGGAAGAACGGUCACUGUGCUAAUCAGCAGUGAAUUGACGGUAACUGCAAAGGAAGCACCGGCUAACUCCGUGCCAGCAGCCGCGGUAAUACGGAGGGUGCGAGCGUUAAUCGGAAUUACUGGGCGUAAAGCGCUCGUAGGCGGUAUGUCAAGUCAAGGGUGAAAUCCCCGCGCUCAACGUGGGAACUGCCUUUGAAACUGGCAGACUGGAGUGUGUGAGAGGAUAGUGGAAUUCCAGGUGUAGGAGUGAAAUCCGUAGAUAUCUGGAGGAACAUCAGUGGCGAAGGCGACUAUCUGGCACAUAACUGACGCUGAGGAGCGAAAGCGUGGGUAGCAAACAGGAUUAGAUACCCUAGUAGUC
Molecule: ribosomal RNA, 465 nt
Filed under: uncultured bacterium
Lineage: Bacteria
Description: partial 16S ribosomal RNA
Rfam family: Bacterial small subunit ribosomal RNA
Source: RNAcentral